Molecule: long non-coding RNA, 2957 nt
Organism: Humulus lupulus (European hop)
Lineage: Eukaryota; Viridiplantae; Streptophyta; Magnoliopsida; Rosales; Cannabaceae
Exons: 2
Source: RefSeq, a predicted model, not a curated record
AAUGCAAUUUUAUUCAUAUGAUUUUUUUAGGUUAUUUUGUCACCAAAAGUUUUCAAACAUGUUGGGUUUCCCAAAUUUUAUGGGAAUUUUUCAUCAAAAAGCUCAAAAUUUAUGGAAAAAAAAAUAACUAACAAAACUGGAACAACACAUUCAAAACAAAAAAGAUAAGAUAAACAGGGGCAAUAUUGGAUUUCACGACCCACUUCCGAUCAACUCCAAAAACUUCCGACAACCUGCUAUAGCUCCAGUCUUCGACGAUGUCGUUGACCCAGUAGCCAACGAUGCCCCCGACCAGUCACCGAUGCAGAGGCACCUCCCUGCAUCAUUCUCUUCGAAGAUAUGAACGCCAAUGGAGGAUUCACAGAGGCACCGCUGUGGACUAGCGGAAACGCCAACGGAUGCAAAGGUGGAGAUCUACUAGAUCCCAACAAUAUACGAGUUAUCUCUGAGCCUAAUUGAGUUGGGCCUCACGACAUAUCGGUUAUCGAAUUUGGACCCUCGAAUCGCAAACCUCUCCUACCUCACAAAGCUCUCUGUGGGCCAAAACCAAAUCAAAGAUGUCGCUGUCGAGCAUAGAAGUGGAGCUGACACUGGAGAUCAUUUUGUGCGCAGUCAUGGUUUUGAGUAUGCUGGUGUGGAUCUUUUCAUAAAAUUCCAUUCAAAGUUGAUAAAGGUAAGAAUCGAAUGCAUAUAUAAGUGUAUAUAUAUCGGUAAUUAUGAAUUUUGUUUUUGAGGGAAGAGAACUGUUGUUAAUAAGUGGUGAAAGAGUUGAGAACCACAGACGGGGGGCUUUCCCUUGACAAGCUGCUAGGAUUGAUCUAGACAAUCUUGAACCUUUAGCAAGGCAACCAACAAGGAAAUUGUUUGUUCUCUUCACAAAAACAAAAUUACAGCAGUUUAGUGAAAAUAGAGCUUUCUCUUUGAACUGUCAAGAAACUAUCAACAUCUCUGAUAGCGAUGAGCAUGACAGAAUAUGUCAAUCUAUCACUGUGGUCAUUGAUGAUAUAGUGCAGGUCAGCCAUAUUUAAGCAUAUAGUAUGACAAAACAAAAUUCUUUAUUUGUUUUUAGUGAUGCUAAUCAUGUUGAAUGAAUAUAUUUCAGUGGCUUAGUUGGACUGGGGAAGAUACUCCUAUUAGAACUCUGGUUUGAAUAUAUGUAUAUAUGGCUGAGUUUAGUUUCUUUCUUUUUCCAACUUGUAGCUGCUUAAUAUGGAUAUUCUUUUUCAUUCAGGUUCUUUGGUUAACACUUGAGUAGAAUUUAGAUGAUAUGCUACUUAGGUGAAAAAAAAAAUGAAAAUAGAGGAACAGGAAUAGGACGAGAAAAUAAAUAAGAAUAGAAUAAAAUAAAAAUUAAUAUGAAUAAAUAAAAUUAAAUACAAUCAAAUAAAGAAAUGAAAUAAACUUUCAAUUCCAUUCUAUUAUCCCAAACAAAACAUCACCUUAGUCUAUUAUAAUUAGUUGUCUGCCUCUACUGUCCAAUAUACUUUAAAAUAGCUUUAUACGCUCAGACUCUAUACUCUACUGUUUUUAUUCACCUAACUUCCUGCUUAUCUCGCACAGUCAACAUUUAAAAGGUCUGUGUUGCUGCCUAUGUUGGAUAGAACUUAGGGAUUAUAAUUUUGGAACAACAUUCCUACAUGCCCUUUUUGGUCAUGAAUUCCCUGUUUGUUGCUAAACAAAUUUUUUGCUUGUAAAUUCUCAAGUUCAACAUAUUUUAGGGUCUCCCUUUAAAUUUUUAAUCAUUUUUUUUGCUUUUAAAUUUCUUGAUAUGCUGUGGAUUUUUUGAUAUAAUUAUUUUUAUAUUUAUUGGGUGGUCGGUUGAUGAAGAGAAAAUUCUUCCUUUGGGAAAAGAUAUCACUGCCGUUGGAGUAUUCAAUUUCUAAGAUGGUACUCCAGAAAUCAAGUAACGUUCACUAAUUUUCUUAUUUUCUUCAUUUAUGAUAAAAUAUCUUCCGAUGCUUCAUUCUUCACUUCUAACUCUUGAACUUGUGAUGUUUGGGCAUUAAUUAAAUUGAUGGUUUUUGGUUGUUUUAUACUGUGUAGCCCUGAACAAGAUUUCGAUUCCUGCCAGAUUGGAACUGCCAAUAAUGUUAUCUUUUGUCUUUUGCCUUGCAUAUAUCAUGAAAAUUGUGGGGUUAUAUGUUAUUAUUAUGAAUUUUGGCUUUGAAAAAUUUAAGAUGAGCCAGGUCACUCAAAUACACUUUCUUAAUCUGUUUUUUUUUACUCUUUAUUGUGUUUUAGCUUUUAAGGGGUUGUUUGGUAUGUAGGAAACUAGAUACCAGAAUGUAAAUCUGAACACUUUCUCGUAUUUAGUAUUGAGUUUGAAUUUUUUUAACCUGAGAAACUGUAAUCCAGUGAUUUUAAUUUUUUUGAUUCUGGGUUCAAGUGAAACCCACGUGACAGCCUGAGAUGUUGUUUUUAGAUACCCGGGAAUAUUAAAUAUUUCAAAAUUAUUAUUAUUUUAAAAAAAAAAAAUCUUAAACCAAUAGUUAUUCUUCACUUCUAACUCUUGAACUUGUGAUGUUUGGGCAUUAAUUAAACUGAUGGUUUUUGGUUGUUUUAUACUGUGUAGCCCUGAACAAGAUUUCGAUUCCUGCCAGAUUGGAACUGCCAAUAAUGUUAUCUUUUGUCUUUUGCCUUGUAUAUAUCAUGAAAAUUGUGGGGUUAUAUGUUAUUAUUAUGAAUUUUGGCUUUGAAAAAUUUAAGAUGAGCCAGGUCACUCAAAUACACUUUCUUAAUCUGUUUUUGUUUACUUUACUCUUUAUUGUGUUUUAGCUUCUAAGGGGUUGUUUGGUAUGUAGGAAACUAGAUACCAGAAUGUAAAUCUGAACAUUUUCUCGUAUUUAGUACUGAGUUUGAAUUUUUCUAACCUGGGAAACUGUAAUCCAAGGAUUUUAAUUUUUUUGAUUCUGGAUUCAAAUGAAACCCACAUGACAGCCUGAGAUGUUGUUUUUAGA